RNAcentral lists this ribosomal RNA (490 nucleotides) under uncultured bacterium. Its description in RNAcentral is "partial 16S ribosomal RNA". It matches the Rfam family "Bacterial small subunit ribosomal RNA", at positions 30 to 507 of the family's 1533-position model. The record is from RNAcentral.
AUUGAACGCUGGCGGCAGGCCUAACACAUGCAAGUCGAACGGUAACAGGAAACAGCUUGCUGUUUCGCUGACGAGUGGCGGACGGGUGAGUAAUGUCUGGGAAACUGCCUGAUGGAGGGGGAUAACUACUGGAAACGGUAGCUAAUACCGCAUAACGCCGCAAGACCAAAGAGGGGGACCUUCGGGCCUCUUGCCAUCGGAUGUGCCCAGAUGGGAUUAGCUAGUAGGUGGGGUAACGGCUCACCUAGGCGACGAUCCCUAGCUGGUCUGAGAGGAUGACCAGCCACACUGGAACUGAGACACGGUCCAGACUCCUACGGGAGGCAGCAGUGGGGAAUAUUGCACAAUGGGCGCAAGCCUGAUGCAGCCAUGCCGCGUGUAUGAAGAAGGCCUUCGGGUUGUAAAGUACUUUCAGCGGGGAGGAAGGGAGUAAAGUUAAUACCUUUACUCAUUGACGUUACCCGCAGAAGAAGCACCGGCUAACUCCGUG